UGGGGAAUAUUGGACAAUGGGCGAAAGCCUGAUCCAGCAAUGCCGCGUGUGUGAAGAAGGCCUUAGGGUUGUAAAGCACUUUCAGCAGGGAAGAAAAGCGCAGGGUUAAUACCUUUGUGCCUUGACGUAACCUGCAGAAGAAGCACCGGCUAACUCCGUGCCAGCAGCCGCGGUAAUACGGAGGGUGCAAGCGUUAAUCGGAAUUACUGGGCGUAAAGCGCGCGUAGGCGGUUUGAUAAGUCUGUUGUGAAAUCUCCCGGCUUAACUGGGAGGGUGCGGUGGAAACUGGGGUGCUUGAGUGUGGGAGAGGUCAGCGGAAUUCCUGGUGUAGCGGUGAAAUGCGUAGAUAUCAGGAGGAACACCGGCGGUGUAGACGGCUGACUGGACCACGACUGACGCUGAGGCACGAAAGCGUGGGUAGCAAACAG
Molecule: ribosomal RNA, 428 nt
Filed under: uncultured bacterium
Lineage: Bacteria
Description: bacterial SSU rRNA
Rfam family: Bacterial small subunit ribosomal RNA
Source: RNAcentral